ACCCAACAGCUAGCCCGCCCAAGUAAUUACAAUCCCCACAUAUAAAUAACCCCUAAUUACCCCAGUAUUUAAAUUAAACAAAACAUUUUUCCCCCUUAGUAUAGGAGACAGAAAAGGGAACAAGGCGCAAUAGAGAAAGUACCGCAAGGGAAUGCUGAAAGAGAAAUGAAAUAACCCAGUAAAGCCUAAAAAAGCAGAGACUUAGCCUCGUACCUUUUGCAUCAUGAUUUAGUAAGUGUACCUUAAGCAAAGAGCACUUUAGUUUAAACCCCCGAAACUACGUGAGCUACUUCAAGACAGCCUAUUAAUAGGGCCAACCCGUCUCUGUUGCAAAAGAGUGGGGAGAGCUUUGAGUAGCGGUGAUAAACCUACCGAACCUAGUUAUAGCUGGUUGCCCAAGAAAUGAAUAGAAGUUCAGCCCCUUGGCUUCUCUUUUCACCAUGGCCUUACCUCCCAUUGAUACAUUAAAGAAACCGAGGGAGUUAGUCAAAGGGGGUACAGCCCCUUUGAAUCAAGACACAACUUUCCCAGGAGGGU
RNAcentral lists this ribosomal RNA (537 nucleotides) under Chitonotus pugetensis. RNAcentral's name for it is "partial 16S ribosomal RNA". It matches the Rfam family "Bacterial large subunit ribosomal RNA", at positions 150 to 1040 of the family's 2925-position model. Lineage: Eukaryota; Metazoa; Chordata; Actinopteri; Perciformes; Cottidae. The record is from RNAcentral.